Molecule: ribosomal RNA, 253 nt
Filed under: uncultured bacterium
Lineage: Bacteria
Description: partial 16S ribosomal RNA
Rfam family: Bacterial small subunit ribosomal RNA
Source: RNAcentral
UACGUAGGUGGCGAGCGUUGUCCGGAUUUACUGGGCGUAAAGGGAGCGUAGGCGGACUUUUAAGUGAGAUGUGAAAUACUCGGGCUCAACUUGAGUGCUGCAUUUCAAACUGGAAGUCUAGAGUGCAGGAGAGGAGAAUGGAAUUCCUGGUGUAGCGGUGAAAUGCGUAGAGAUUAGGAAGAACACCAGUGGCGAAGGCGAUUCUCUGGACUGUAACUGACGCUGAAGCUCGAAAGCGUGGGGAGCAAACAGG